GUCUGUAGGAGCGCUUAGGAGAAUGGGAAGGAGAAGGUAGUCUUAAGGGUAUCCAGAUCCCAAGACAGCUAAGGCUUUAAAGGAGAUAAUUUGAAGCAUCACAGAACUAUUGUAAAAUCAGCUGAACCAAAGAGGACAAGUAGAACUCCACAAGUACAAGUCACAAGGGGAGCUCUGUGGUGCCACCUUCAAACCUGGGAAAAGAGCUAUCAUCUGCACAAAGCCUUCAACGCUGGAGGGAUGGGCAGGGGAUCUGGGCUGUAACCACAUGAAAUCAAGAUGAGUGUGUCAGAUGCCUUCCUGAGGGCUAUUUAUGUACCUCUGAUUGAUUCCCUGCAACCUGUAAUUAUUUUAGCUGCAUUUGUUUUCAUGCUGUGUGUACAGUUCACUCUCAGUCAGAUUAAUGCUUAUUUCUGGGCUGUUAAAGCCACUUUGGUUAUGGUGGGAAGGGAAGAGCCGCCCAGGCUCUUUGUGUGCCUCAACAGGCAGCAGAUGUGGAGACCCCAGGGAACAGCUUUUAGCAAGGGUAGAUUUUAUUGUGCUGAUUCUCACAAUCCUUCCUCCCCCAAAUCUCCUGCCUAUUAAUUCUCUCUUUCAAAUGAUACUCCUGCUUUUUGUUAAUGAUUUAGGAAUCACUUUCUUAUUUCCCAUAUUUUCUAAUCUGGAGAAUAGGAGCAUUGUGAAGAGGCUAUACUCCCAAAGCCCAUGGCAUUCUAGGAGUUAAAACUAGAAAAACUCCACAUAUCUGGGCGGCACCAGGUUAGAAGGGACUGCACUGAAGCACUGAAUUAUAGCCACUCUAGCCACAGGCUUAACAAGAAGUAUCCCUUUAGUGACAUCUCAUAACUUCAAGCAGCCAGCUCUGCUUAUUGCUUGCUGUAGACUUAUCAAUUCCUUUGUCAGAGUAAAUUGUCAGUCAUAGAAUAUA
Long non-coding RNA from Candoia aspera, 928 nucleotides. RefSeq lists it as uncharacterized. The record is from RefSeq and is a predicted model, not a curated record. NCBI's taxonomy places the organism in Eukaryota, Metazoa, Chordata, Lepidosauria, Squamata, Candoiidae. The transcript is spliced from 2 exons.